RNAcentral lists this ribosomal RNA (162 nucleotides) under Haussknechtia elymaitica. RNAcentral's name for it is "5.8S ribosomal RNA". It matches the Rfam family "5.8S ribosomal RNA". Rfam says of the family: 5.8S ribosomal RNA (5.8S rRNA) is a component of the large subunit of the eukaryotic ribosome. It is transcribed by RNA polymerase I as part of the 45S precursor that also contains 18S and 28S rRNA. Functionally, it is thought that 5.8S rRNA may be involved in ribosome translocation. Lineage: Eukaryota; Viridiplantae; Streptophyta; Magnoliopsida; Apiales; Apiaceae. The record is from RNAcentral.
AAUGACUCUCGACAACGGAUAUCCCGGCUCUCGCAUCGAUGAAGAACGUAGCGAAAUGCGAUACUUGGUGUGAAUUGCAGAAUCCCGUGAACCAUCGAGUCUUUGAACGCAAGUUGCGCCCGAAGCCAAUAGGCCGAGGGCACGUCUGCCUGGGUGUCACGC